This is a long non-coding RNA of Numida meleagris (helmeted guineafowl), 2932 nucleotides long. RefSeq lists it as uncharacterized. NCBI's taxonomy places the organism in Eukaryota, Metazoa, Chordata, Aves, Galliformes, Numididae. The transcript is spliced from 2 exons. The record is from RefSeq and is a predicted model, not a curated record.
CCAGUUUUUCAGACCCCUUCACAUUUUCAGUGUCUUCCAGUGCUGCAAACACUUGGAUAUUCCUGCUGCACCCAUACCUGCAUGUGCGUCUAUUGGCUGUGUCUGCAUUACUCUGUGAAAGGGAGAAAUAGCUCAAAUCAUUGUGUUUAAUUCCGCAAGAAUUUUACUCUAUCCCAUUCCGUCUUCUUUUGGGGAUAUUGGAAAGCUGCUGCACAUGCAAGAAAAGAGAUCUGGAUUUCACAAAUGGUUCCAGCUGGAUGGCUACUUCAGAGGGAGACCAGGAGAAACACCACUGUGUAAGGCCAUGUGGUUAACGUGCAGUAAGACAUCCAGUCUGUGCGCUUUGACUGCAGGGAGGAUAUGGCCUUCCGCGGGAGGAAAGAUUCUGGUUCAUUAUACUGUGUGUAGGAAGUGGAUUUAUGCAGUGCUGUCAGGAGACAGGGAGGCAAGCACUGCUUCCUUGCUGAUGACUCAAGUAUGUGAAAAUGCUGUAAUCUAAUUACUAAAAACGAGUAGAAGACUGGUGAUGGGAUGAGCAGCGGAGCAGCAUCGUGGUUCAGAAGUGCCAGCCGAGACAUCCCCAUACCUCUGCUGCAAAGAAGGGAAAAGCCUGGAAGAACUUCUACCAGAGGAAGGAUACAAAUCCUGGUUUUACUCAAAAUCCUACCUUCUUAUAGACUACCUUAGCAUUCUCCUCGAUACUAUCAAGAGAAAAAGAGACUUGGCAUUUGGUACGAAAUUCGGACUCCUGUUUCUUCUGCCAUCUGUGCUAAAAAGAAAAUUCAUCCAGACAAUGAAUGUUUCCUAAUUUCCCAUGCACACAUGCCCACUAUUUCAUCUUGUUCUCCAGUAGCUGGCAAAAGAGAUACUCUCACAUCCUAUCAAGAGCUGGAAUAGAGUCCUGUUUCUGGCACAUAUCUGUGGAAUUAUAUCAGAAAGGUCAGGAUGGACAAACUUGCCCCUUAUGGUGACAAUGUCUUCUACAUCAAAUCUUCUAUUUCACUUAAUUAUUAAAUACUUUCUUCACGGGACUGAAAACAACACGGUUAGAGUUGUGUUCUUUCUUUCCGCUGGUACUUUCCUCAUUUUGCCCAGUGUGAAAACCACUUGCAAUCCCCUACUGCUUUUUGACCUAACAUGGGCCAAUAUGCCCUUCAAAAGGAGUUAGACCCAGCCUCACCUGUUAAGUAUCAGAUAGAUUCUGCCUGAGACUAAACACUUGUAUGCAGGUUGAGCAUAAAGCAUGGUGACUCUGUGGGGCAGGGCCAUUACAGAGCCAAAGUCAUGGGAUGUAGGCCAGUUUCUAAUCCACGGGCUUCUGGCAAGAGCCAGAAAGUUACAACUCAAAGCUAGAUGUGUAGAAAAGACUUCUGGAGAAAAGGAUGAUGAAUUUGCUGAUGUUGCAUAACACUGUACAUCUUUUCUGGGUGACAGAAAAUCAUAAAGCUAAGCAGAACAAAUGCAAAGUCCUUCCCAUAGGAGAGACAGAAGACCCUGUAAGGUGGAGUCUGGGUAGAGUGAGAGCAGCUCCGCAGAGCAGGAUCUGGGGUGGGGAAGUUUUUGAACACGAAUCAGCAGUGCGCCCUUGAGGUGAUGAAAGCUAACCACAUGCCAGGCUGCAUUAGCAAGAGAGCAGCCAGCAGCUUGACGGAAUUGGUUAUUCCCUUCCAACUGGCAUUUGCAAGGCCACGUUUGGUGUACUGUGUAAUGCCCAGUUUUGGGUUCCCCUCUGAGAGGCAUUGGCAUGCUAGACUGUCCUAUGGAGGGCCACCAAGACUGUGGUGUAAGGCAUUUGGGACGAGCUGAGGAAACUAAGUUUGUCCAGCUUGAAGAAGCAAUGCCUGGGUUGGAGAGGGAGCUUUAAUGGUAAUCUUCAACUUCACAAAGUGGUGUUACAGACAAGAUAGAGUGAGUCUUCUCUCAGAGGUGUGCAGCCAAAGGACAAAUGUCGGUGGUCACAAGCUGUUAGCCAGGGAAAUUCUCAUCAAGUAGAAGGAGGAAAAAAAAAAUCCACCACAAAACAGAGCAGGGAGGAGUGGUCAAAAGCAGCCAGAGAGGUUGGGGAAUCUCCAUCCUCAGAGAUUUUCAAUGCUUGACUAGAGAAAGCCAUGAACAACCUCAUCUGACUUUUAAGUUUAUCUGACUUCGAGCAGAGGGUUGGACUAGAUGACCUCCAAAGGUUCUUUGCAACGUACAUUAUUCUGGGAUUCUAAAAAUAAGGUAGAGGUUGUAAGGAAAAUGACCUAAAUCAGAUUCAGGAGUGGCGUGAGUCUUUCCUGUGGUGAGAGAACAGGCCUGCAGGCUGUUAUAAUACUGCUGACCUCCUAAGGGCUGAAUGAUUGAAAACCACUCUUGGAUGCAGCAGAGCGUGUCUUCCUGGCACAGCACUUGCAUUGAGCCCUUCCCAAGUUUCUGUAAGCAAUGGCUUUAUCUGGGCGGAGUGCUGUCACUCAGGCAUUUUUUCCUUCAUUUUUCCUCUCACUCCUUGUCAUCAGAGCACAUGAAAACCAGUCUGUUAAAAGAACUCACCAAACAUUCACACUUCAAGAACAGGAGUGUGAUUUUUGCAAGAACUGUAAUUUUUUGUACAAUUUUCAUUUCUCAGAAGGUCAUUUGUGUCUUUGGUAACCAAAGCAUUGCACAAGUAAAAUGUAUCAAUCACAAAUUCCUACUUCUAGCCUGAAUAAGAACACUUAACAGGGAAAAAAAAAAAAAAGAAAAAAAAAAAAGAAAAAGAAAGAAGACUUAUACUAGAAACAUCUCUUUCUUUUAGCUUAAAAUGAUUCUGUGGGAGAUAGAUAAAGAUCCACAUUUUAACAAUUGAGAUGACUUCAGAAAGUAAUGGAGUGGAGUAACAACCUUUUUUAUGGUGGGUAAUUUAAACUGGUAUGAUGUAUACUUUACUAACUAAUAAAAAUGAAGUUUUGAUGCA